CACCAGGUCAGGACACGGUAAGGAUUGACGGACUGAAGGCUCUUUCUCGAUUCCGUGGAAAGUGGUGCAUGGCCGUUUUGGUGGUGGAUCGAUCCGUCUGGUUAAUUCCGUUAACGAACGAGACCUCGGCACUCCGAAUAGCGCGGCGGACGUCGCGGCCUCCGGGCCGUCUUCCGCACGAGCUUCUUAGAGGGGACCGUCCCCCGCCGGGGAAGGAGGUGCGAGGCAACGACAGGUCUGUGAUGCCCUUAGAUGUUCUGGGCCGCACGCGCAUUACACUGACGCGUCCAACGGGUGACUCCCGACCCGAAGGGGCCGGGGAAUCCGCAAGGCGCGUCGUGAUGGGGAUUGAACGUUGCAAUUGUUGUUCACGAACGAGGAAUUCCUAGUAGGCGCGGGUCAUCAACCCGCGCCGAUUACGUCCCUGCCC
RNAcentral lists this ribosomal RNA (430 nucleotides) under uncultured eukaryote. Its description in RNAcentral is "bacterial SSU rRNA". It matches the Rfam family "Eukaryotic small subunit ribosomal RNA", at positions 1216 to 1658 of the family's 1831-position model. The record is from RNAcentral.